This is a long non-coding RNA of Alligator mississippiensis (American alligator), 828 nucleotides long. RefSeq lists it as uncharacterized. The record is from RefSeq and is a predicted model, not a curated record. NCBI's taxonomy places the organism in Eukaryota, Metazoa, Chordata, Crocodylia, Alligatoridae. The transcript is spliced from 2 exons.
UUAACCGUAUUGCACACACACCCACGCACAAGUGUACAAGAUCAACACUGACUGCCUGGCUUUUAUCUAUGAUAGACUUCAACAUAUUAGUGUCUUUUUUCUUUUUCUUUUUUUUAGCAGGGUAGCUUGCCAUGCCAAGGAAGACUCGUGAACCUGCAGAGAAAGUGUCUGCAAGAGGUGGAAGAAGAGAGUCUUCCUAUUUCUGUUUCUGCUCAGAUACCCCGCUCCCACGGCCGCAGCCAAGCGCUUCCCGGUUGUGUGCACAUGAUGCAAAAAAAACACUCUGCCGCGGUCCUUUCCCACCCUCUCCCCCGGGACGAAGCGAGCGCAGCGCAGAGCCUCGUUUCACAAGCGGCGGGCAUGAAAAACCAGGAGCAAAAUCUCCCCUGCUAUCUGAGCCACACAAAUGGACUGCAUCCCCGGGGAGAAGAGGCUGAGUAAUCCCCAGGAAACCCCGCAAGGCCGUCUCUUUCUCUGCCCAUAAGAGAAACCCCUGCUCCCAACUGUCACACAAACCCACCGGCCAGGCACCCGGGCCCGAGCCUCUCCGCGGGCCUCAGGGCCAGAUGGUCAGAGACCUCCUCUUCCCCGGCCCGGCUGGACUCAGCACCCCCGGGAGCCUAAGGAAACCAAGAUCCGCUGAACUGCAGAGCGAGGUAGCGGAGAACGGGCGCUUUGGUGCAAAGCGGCACGGCACAGCUUUAUCUUGCCCAGAUCCGUCCAGCUCUCUGCCCCAGAACAAGGGCGUUUGGACCGAAAGCUUGCAAAGAAGCAUUUUUCCAAGUAUUUGAGUUGGUCUAAUAAAAGAUACUGGCUUGACCCAAAGAA